UGACACCAUUACCCUAAAAAUAUCAUCUUUUUUUGGUAAUACAGCCUAUAAAUAUGUAGCUAAGAUACUAAAACACUUUCAUUUUCACUUUCAAACAGGAGCUAUUUCACGGCACAGAAUAUGCUGUUCUGAAAGAUAUCUGAAGUAAAUUGAUGUUUUUGCCAUCAGAAAGUUUUGUUUAUGCUAGCAGGAAGUUGCUAGGCAAGAAAAUGCACACAUAUUUAAAGUCACAGCGAAAAGGAUCAGACAUGCAUGCAGUCAUUUUGACCAAUAUGGUAAUUUAGGGCAGAAAUGCUCAGUUCUUUACUGUUUUGUAACAAAAAAUAAUAAUAAUAACAAUGUCAGAAAGAAAUACACUGAUAGUUAGAAAACGGCAGGGUGUUAUUUGUUAGUUUUAUUUCAAAGAGUUAUACAAUUACAAAAAUUAAAAACUCUCUGUGUAUCUAUCCACUGGAACCUGCAGAUGAGUGAUUAAUCCGCUGAUAAAUCAGCUGAUUUGAUGAUGUUUUUAAAUGCUUUCUUCAAAGCUUGAAACGCUGUCAGUGAUGUAAUCCGCACACAAGCAGCCAAUAGUGUUCAGCUUUUUCUGACGACUCCUCCCUCAAAUUUUCAUUGGCUGUGGUUUGGUAGCUUGAAUGAGCUGAUGGGGAAUGAGUUGUUAUCAGAUCAUGUAGUGUGUGACCCCCCUCUUGUGGAUUAUUCACGGAGUGUUGCGUAGUGUGAACACCACAGAGAUCAAAAGACACAAAGUCAAGUCAUGUAGUGUGAACGGCACAGCGAUCUGCUGAUGUUUAAAAUCCUGUAGUGUGAACCAGGCUUUAAGUUAUAAUGAGAUUUUAGCAAUAUUGAGUUUAAAUUUUACCUCAUACUUGGGUCAUUUAGGCCUAAUUGUACCCUUUAAGCCCUUACCUGUCCCAACAACAUGCCUCCAAAACUGACUAAGGAGACCCACUAAUGUAAAAAAGGAGCUGUGAUGUUCAGUAAAGAUGGAUGGUUUAUGCUUUCUUUAAAAACAAAAUAAAAGAUUGUGCAUAUUUAGGAUUGUUUUAGGGGUGAUAAUUCACAUAAACAAAGCCAAACAAAUAUCUUUGGUUUGAACGUUUACUACUAAAUGAUGUGAACAUCCUUACGAUCACUCAUUUUGAUGCAACAAUACAAAUUAAAUUGUGUAACUCGGGUUUUCUCAGCAGUCCAUUAUGCAUGGGAAUGUUUAAUGGGCCAUGAGUAUUUAGUAGAUUCAGACCAGGGCAGGCAAGGAACUUCCCCAAUCAAUGCUAAUGUUCACCCAUCAAGAGGAAAUGCUGUGAACUGCUGUCGCCACUGGCUUGCAUGGUUCGUGACCUGUGGAGCUGCGUAUCGAUGGAUUUGCUCUUCAGUGUUUGAACUCUCAGCAGUUAAUAUUAAAUCACACUAAACUGAACUUCAACUCUAAAAACUGGACUUACACCGUUUCAGUUUACUAUAACUGUCUAUGUAAAGCUGCUGUGACUCAAUCUUCAUUGUAAAAGCGCUAUUGAAAUAAAGAUGAAUGGAGUUG
RNAcentral lists this long non-coding RNA (1537 nucleotides) under Danio rerio (zebrafish). RNAcentral describes it as "lncRNA si:dkeyp-79b7.13 (ENSDARG00000109263.1)". Lineage: Eukaryota; Metazoa; Chordata; Actinopteri; Cypriniformes; Danionidae. The record is from RNAcentral.